This 503-nucleotide ribosomal RNA is filed under the name uncultured bacterium. RNAcentral describes it as "partial 16S ribosomal RNA". It matches the Rfam family "Bacterial small subunit ribosomal RNA", at positions 30 to 523 of the family's 1533-position model. The record is from RNAcentral.
AUUGAACGCUGGCGGCAGGCUUAACACAUGCAAGUCGAGCGGGGUGAUGGUGCUUGCACUAUCACUUAGCGGCGGACGGGUGAGUAAUGCUUAGGAAUCUGCCUAUUAGUGGGGGACAACAUCUCGAAAGGGAUGCUAAUACCGCAUACGUCCUACGGGAGAAAGCAGGGGAUCACUUGUGACCUUGCGCUAAUAGAUGAGCCUAAGUCGGAUUAGCUAGUUGGUGGGGUAAAGGCCUACCAAGGCGACGAUCUGUAGCGGGUCUGAGAGGAUGAUCCGCGAAACUGGGACUGAGAAACGGGCCAGACUCCUACGGGAGGCAGCAGUGGGGAAUAUUGGACAAUGGGGGGAACCCUGAUCCAGCCAUGCCGCGUGUGUGAAGAAGGCCUUAUGGUUGUAAAGCACUUUAAGCGAGGAGGAGGCUCUUUUGGUUAAUACCCAAGAUGAGUGGACGUUACUCGCAGAAUAAGCACCGGCUAACUCUGUGCCAGCCGCCGCGGUAA